Dendronephthya gigantea is the source of this 619-nucleotide long non-coding RNA. RefSeq lists it as uncharacterized. The transcript is spliced from 3 exons. The record is from RefSeq and is a predicted model, not a curated record. Lineage: Eukaryota; Metazoa; Cnidaria; Anthozoa; Malacalcyonacea; Nephtheidae.
CUCAAGGUUCAAGGACAACUUUAAAGCUUUGAAAAUAUAAUUUGGCGAUUUCUUGUUAAUUUUUCUCCUUUUUGAAAGUGGACACAAGACAAGUGUUGCAGUAGUGUUAAGUGUUAACUCCGACGAUGACAAGUUUCGCUCGAAAUUUUAUGAACCAAUAUUAUAAAAGAGCGAACAAUGUUCGAAUGUACCAGGAGUUAUUUCAGAAAGCCCACAAUGUUCCUGUACAUUUAAGAGGUCCAUCGGAUCAAGCCAUCUACCAGGGCCUGAUGGGUCUAUCAUUUUUUGGGAUUGGUGUGUCUCUUUGUACUAUAUAUGCAAUGGCAUCAGGAACAUUAAAAAAAAAGUGAGAUUUUGCAAAGCUUGUAGAGCAGUAUUCAAAAUAUAUGUUUUUAAUAUUAUCCUCAUUUAUUGACAUGUCUGGAUAUUCUAUAUUUAAGGAAAUAAUAAGAUUGCAUCUUUACAAAAUAAAAUAGAUUCCAGUCUAACAGAGGCAGAUGAUUCAUUUUUUAUUCAAAUAUACCUACCUGCCUGAGUAUUGUCAAUAUUGAAGUUAUAUGCUAUCUCCAGGAUUCAGUUUUCUUCAACACGUCUUGCAAUCAUGUAGUACUUUCUGGAU